GCAACAACCAUUUUUCUCCUCCAUCCCCCAUAACCAUCACCCGAGAAGGGAGUGGGGACAAGAGAUACCCCGGGAACAUCGGAGGAGUAUAGAAAUAGAGGACUGCUAGAGUCCAAAAUACCAGUAUUGGUAUUAACAGCCAUGACACAUCAACAAAGAAAACAGGUUCAACAACCAGAGUGUAACAAAUCAAGUAACCACACACAAAGCCAACUACUCAGAUACAAAACCAACUCAAUACACACAAAUCACGUAAUAUUGAAUUUUAAGACAAAGUUACCCUCCUUCUUCGCUACCGGAAGAAGAUCGGCCUUCAAAUGACAGUGAAAACCCUAGUAUGAAACCCUAGGUUCAAACGUCGAGUCGGUCACCGGAAAU
This 378-nucleotide long non-coding RNA is filed under the name Nicotiana benthamiana. RNAcentral's name for it is "long non-coding RNA (NBEN_LNC005384)". Lineage: Eukaryota; Viridiplantae; Streptophyta; Magnoliopsida; Solanales; Solanaceae. The record is from RNAcentral.